GAUGAACGCUGGCGGCGUGCCUAAUACAUGCAAGUCGAGCGAACAGACGAGGAGCUUGCUCCUCUGACGUUAGCGGCGGACGGGUGAGUAACACGUGGAUAACCUACCUAUAAGACUGGGAUAACUUCGGGAAACCGGAGCUAAUACCGGAUAAUAUAUUGAACCGCAUGGUUCAAUAGUGAAAGACGGUUUUGCUGUCACUUAUAGAUUGAUCCGCGCCGCAUUAUCUAGUUGGUAAGGUAACGGCUUACCAAGGCGACGAUGCGUAGCCGACCUGAGAGGGUGAUCGGACAGACUGGAACUGAGACACGGUCCAGAAUCCUACGGGAGGCAGCAGUAGGGAAUCUUCCGAAAUGGGCGAAAGCCUGACGGAGCAACGCCGCGUGAGUGAUGAAGGUCUUCGGAUCGUAAAACUCUGUUAUUAGGGAAGAAAAAAUGUGUAAGUAACUAUGCACGUCUUGACGGUACCUAAUCAGAAAGCCACGGCUAACUACGUG
RNAcentral lists this ribosomal RNA (497 nucleotides) under uncultured bacterium. RNAcentral's name for it is "partial 16S ribosomal RNA". It matches the Rfam family "Bacterial small subunit ribosomal RNA", at positions 28 to 507 of the family's 1533-position model. The record is from RNAcentral.